CGUUGUCCGGAAUUAUUGGGCGUAAAGAGCUCGUAGGCGGUCUGUCGCGUCGAUCGUGAAAACUUGGGGCUUAACCCUGAGCCUGCUUCCGAUACGGGCAGACUAGAGGUAUGCAGGGGAGAACGGAAUUCCUGGUGUAGCGGUGGAAUGCGCAGAUAUCAGGAGGAACACCGGUGGCGAAGGCGGUUCGCGGGGCAUUACCUGACGCUGAGGAGCGAAAGUGUGGGGAGCGAACAGG
RNAcentral lists this ribosomal RNA (238 nucleotides) under uncultured bacterium. Its description in RNAcentral is "partial 16S ribosomal RNA". It matches the Rfam family "Bacterial small subunit ribosomal RNA", at positions 539 to 776 of the family's 1533-position model. The record is from RNAcentral.